UAAGUGAAUCUAACUAGAAAUGAUAAAUCAAUACGUCAAAUUCCAUUCAACAAUGACUUUUGCUAAUCAACUGCAAUUUCUUUGCAUUUUCAAGAUACUAAAGUUGUUCUUGGGGUGCUAGAGGAUAGAACCUCGCCAAGCCAGCAAAGCUAGCCAUCACCUAGUCCAUUCGCAGUUCCGAUAGGCAGUGUCAUAUUUCGUAUCAGAAUGUUUCUCCGUCUGUGGGUAUACUUAGCGUCGAAAAUAUUCCAUGAGAAAAAUCGGGAAGAAGAAUAGAACCAACCACCCCGCCACUUCUCCUCCGACUUCACGCAACAUCGAAAAAAAACCACUUUUACAUGGUUUCAACAAAAGGAACGAAUCCCAGUUGCAAUCACUUUGGCCAAAAAUAGUAAUUCAUUACCCAACUGUUACUCGCCAAAAAAUGUUUUGCCUCAACUCGCUAAAUCAAUACCCCCCUCAAUAGUUAAAUUUUUAUUUCAAGCACUCCUAAAAUUAGUAGUGUUCCUGCC
Long non-coding RNA from Tigriopus californicus, 512 nucleotides. RefSeq lists it as uncharacterized. The transcript is spliced from 3 exons. The record is from RefSeq and is a predicted model, not a curated record. NCBI's taxonomy places the organism in Eukaryota, Metazoa, Arthropoda, Copepoda, Harpacticoida, Harpacticidae.